CCUACGGGUGGCAGCAGUGAGGAAUAUUGGUCAAUGGUCGGGAGACUGAACCAGCCAAGCCGCGUGAGGGAUGAAGGUACAGAGUAUCGUAAACCUCUUUUGUCAGGGAACAAAGGCGGGGACGUGUCCCCGGAUGAGUGUACCUGAAGAAAAAGCAUCGGCUAAAUCCGUGCCAGCAGCCGCGGUAAUACGGAGGAUGCGAGCGUUAUCCGGAUUUAUUGGGUUUAAAGGGAGCGUCGGCCGCAUGUCAAGCGUGCUGUGAAAUGUCCGGGUUCAACCCGGGCCGAGCAGCGGGAACUGGCGUGCUUGAGUCCGCGGAAGGCAGGCGGAAUUCGUGGUGUAGCGGUGAAAUGCUUAGAUAUGACGAAGAACCCCGAUUGCGAAGGCAGCUUGCUGCAGCGGAACUGACGCUGAUGCUCGAAAGCGCGGGUAUCGAACAGGAUUAGAUACCCCAGUAGUC
This 460-nucleotide ribosomal RNA is filed under the name uncultured bacterium. RNAcentral describes it as "partial 16S ribosomal RNA". It matches the Rfam family "Bacterial small subunit ribosomal RNA", at positions 338 to 795 of the family's 1533-position model. The record is from RNAcentral.